UACGAAGGGGGCUAGCGUUGCUCGGAUUGACUGGGCGUAAAGGGCGCGUAGGCGGUCCUUCAAGUCAGGCGUGAAAGCCCCGGGCUCAACCUGGGAACCGCGCUUGAGACUGGCGGGCUAGAGUUCGGGAGAGGAUGGUGGAAUUCCCAGUGUAGAGGUGAAAUUCGUAGAUAUUGGGAAGAACACCGAUGGCGAAGGCAGCCAUCUGGACCGACACUGACGCUGAGGCGCGAAAGCGUGGGGAGCAAACAGG
Molecule: ribosomal RNA, 253 nt
Filed under: uncultured bacterium
Lineage: Bacteria
Description: partial 16S ribosomal RNA
Rfam family: Bacterial small subunit ribosomal RNA
Source: RNAcentral